RNAcentral lists this ribosomal RNA (2925 nucleotides) under Salmonella enterica subsp. enterica serovar Rubislaw str. ATCC 10717. RNAcentral's name for it is "bacterial LSU rRNA". It matches the Rfam family "Bacterial large subunit ribosomal RNA". Lineage: Bacteria; Pseudomonadati; Pseudomonadota; Gammaproteobacteria; Enterobacterales; Enterobacteriaceae. The record is from RNAcentral.
GGGUUGUGAGGUUAAGCGACUAAGCGUACACGGUGGAUGCCCUGGCAGUCAGAGGCGAUGAAGGGCGUGCUAAUCUGCGAUAAGCGCCGGUAAGGUGAUAUGAACCGUUAUAACCGGCGAUACCCGAAUGGGGAAACCCAGUGUGACUCGUCACACUAUCAUUAACUGAAUCCAUAGGUUAAUGAGGCGAACCGGGGGAACUGAAACAUCUAAGUACCCCGAGGAAAAGAAAUCAACCGAGAUUCCCCCAGUAGCGGCGAGCGAACGGGGAGGAGCCCAGAGCCUGAAUCAGCAUGUGUGUUAGUGGAAGCGUCUGGAAAGGCGCGCGAUACAGGGUGACAGCCCCGUACACAAAAGCGCAUAUGCUGUGAGCUCGAUGAGUAGGGCGGGACACGUGGUAUCCUGUCUGAAUAUGGGGGGACCAUCCUCCAAGGCUAAAUACUCCUGACUGACCGAUAGUGAACCAGUACCGUGAGGGAAAGGCGAAAAGAACCCCGGCGAGGGGAGUGAAAAAGAACCUGAAACCGUGUACGUACAAGCAGUGGGAGCACCCUUUGGGGUGUGACUGCGUACCUUUUGUAUAAUGGGUCAGCGACUUAUAUUCUGUAGCAAGGUUAACCGAAUAGGGGAGCCGGAGGGAAACCGAGUCUUAACCGGGCGUUAAGUUGCAGGGUAUAGACCCGAAACCCGGUGAUCUAGCCAUGGGCAGGUUGAAGGUUGGGUAACACUAACUGGAGGACCGAACCGACUAAUGUUGAAAAAUUAGCGGAUGACCUGUGGCUGGGGGUGAAAGGCCAAUCAAACCGGGAGAUAGCUGGUUCUCCCCGAAAGCUAUUUAGGUAGCGCCUCGUGAAUUCAUCUCCGGGGGUAGAGCACUGUUUCGGCUAGGGGGCCAUCCCGGCUUACCAACCCGAUGCAAACUGCGAAUACCGGAGAAUGUUAUCACGGGAGACACACGGCGGGUGCUAACGUCCGUCGUGAAGAGGGAAACAACCCAGACCGCCAGCUAAGGUCCCAAAGUCAUGGUUAAGUGGGAAACGAUGUGGGAAGGCCCAGACAGCCAGGAUGUUGGCUUAGAAGCAGCCAUCAUUUAAAGAAAGCGUAAUAGCUCACUGGUCGAGUCGGCCUGCGCGGAAGAUGUAACGGGGCUAAACCAUGCACCGAAGCUGCGGCAGCGACGCUGAUGCGUUGUUGGGUAGGGGAGCGUUCUGUAAGCCUGCGAAGGUGGCCUGUGAGGGUUGCUGGAGGUAUCAGAAGUGCGAAUGCUGACAUAAGUAACGAUAAAGCGGGUGAAAAGCCCGCUCGCCGGAAGACCAAGGGUUCCUGUCCAACGUUAAUCGGGGCAGGGUGAGUCGACCCCUAAGGCGAGGCCGAAAGGCGUAGUCGAUGGGAAACGGGUUAAUAUUCCCGUACUUGGUGUUACUGCGAAGGGGGGACGGAGAAGGCUAUGUUGGCCGGGCGACGGUUGUCCCGGUUUAAGCGUGUAGGCUGGUUUUCCAGGCAAAUCCGGAAAAUCAAGGCUGAGGCGUGACGACGAGGCACUACGGUGCUGAAGCAACAAAUGCCCUGCUUCCAGGAAAAGCCUCUAAGCAUCAGGUAACAUCAAAUCGUACCCCAAACCGACACAGGUGGUCAGGUAGAGAAUACCAAGGCGCUUGAGAGAACUCGGGUGAAGGAACUAGGCAAAAUGGUGCCGUAACUUCGGGAGAAGGCACGCUGACACGUAGGUGAAGUGAUUUACUCAUGGAGCUGAAGUCAGUCGAAGAUACCAGCUGGCUGCAACUGUUUAUUAAAAACACAGCACUGUGCAAACACGAAAGUGGACGUAUACGGUGUGACGCCUGCCCGGUGCCGGAAGGUUAAUUGAUGGGGUCAGCGCAAGCGAAGCUCCUGAUCGAAGCCCCGGUAAACGGCGGCCGUAACUAUAACGGUCCUAAGGUAGCGAAAUUCCUUGUCGGGUAAGUUCCGACCUGCACGAAUGGCGUAAUGAUGGCCAGGCUGUCUCCACCCGAGACUCAGUGAAAUUGAACUCGCUGUGAAGAUGCAGUGUACCCGCGGCAAGACGGAAAGACCCCGUGAACCUUUACUAUAGCUUGACACUGAACAUUGAGCCUUGAUGUGUAGGAUAGGUGGGAGGCUUUGAAGUGUGGACGCCAGUCUGCAUGGAGCCGACCUUGAAAUACCACCCUUUAAUGUUUGAUGUUCUAACGUGGACCCGUGAUCCGGGUUGCGGACAGUGUCUGGUGGGUAGUUUGACUGGGGCGGUCUCCUCCUAAAGAGUAACGGAGGAGCACGAAGGUUGGCUAAUCCUGGUCGGACAUCAGGAGGUUAGUGCAAUGGCAUAAGCCAGCUUGACUGCGAGCGUGACGGCGCGAGCAGGUGCGAAAGCAGGUCAUAGUGAUCCGGUGGUUCUGAAUGGAAGGGCCAUCGCUCAACGGAUAAAAGGUACUCCGGGGAUAACAGGCUGAUACCGCCCAAGAGUUCAUAUCGACGGCGGUGUUUGGCACCUCGAUGUCGGCUCAUCACAUCCUGGGGCUGAAGUAGGUCCCAAGGGUAUGGCUGUUCGCCAUUUAAAGUGGUACGCGAGCUGGGUUUAGAACGUCGUGAGACAGUUCGGUCCCUAUCUGCCGUGGGCGCUGGAGAACUGAGGGGGGCUGCUCCUAGUACGAGAGGACCGGAGUGGACGCAUCACUGGUGUUCGGGUUGUCAUGCCAAUGGCACUGCCCGGUAGCUAAAUGCGGAAGAGAUAAGUGCUGAAAGCAUCUAAGCACGAAACUUGCCCCGAGAUGAGUUCUCCCUGAGACUUAGAGUCUCCUGAAGGAACGUUGAAGACGACGACGUUGAUAGGCCGGGUGUGUAAGCGCAGCGAUGCGUUGAGCUAACCGGUACUAAUGAACCGUGAGGCUUAACCUUACAACGCCGAAG